Molecule: transfer RNA, 95 nt
Filed under: Sulfurihydrogenibium azorense Az-Fu1
Lineage: Bacteria; Pseudomonadati; Aquificota; Aquificia; Aquificales; Hydrogenothermaceae
Description: tRNA-Ser
Rfam family: tRNA
About the family: Transfer RNA (tRNA) molecules are approximately 80 nucleotides in length.
Source: RNAcentral
UGGAUGGGUGUCCGAGUGGCCGAAGGAGCAGCACUGGAAAUGCUGUGUACGGGUAAUCCCCGUACCGCGGGUUCGAAUCCCGCCCCAUCCGCUUG